RNAcentral lists this ribosomal RNA (492 nucleotides) under uncultured bacterium. RNAcentral's name for it is "partial 16S ribosomal RNA". It matches the Rfam family "Bacterial small subunit ribosomal RNA", at positions 29 to 507 of the family's 1533-position model. The record is from RNAcentral.
AGUGAACGCUGGCGGUAGGCCUAACACAUGCAAGUCGAACGGCAGCACAGUAAUAGCUUGCUCUUACGGGUGGCGAGUGGCGGACGGGUGAGGAAUACAUCGGAAUCUACUUUUUCGUGGGGGAUAACGUAGGGAAACUUACGCUAAUACCGCAUACGACCUACGGGUGAAAGCAGUGGAUCUUCUGACCUUGCGCGAUUGAAUGAGCCGAUGUCGGAUUAGCUAGUUGGCGGGGUAAAGGCCCACCAAGUCGACGAUCCGUAGCUGGUCUGAGAGGAUGAUCAGCCACACUGGAACUGGGACACGGUCCAGACUCCUACGGGAGGCAGCAGUGGGGAAUAUUGGACAAUGGGCGGAAGCCUGAUCCAGCCAUACCGCGUGGGUGAAGAAGGCCUUCGGGUUGUAAAGCCCUUUUGUUGGGAAAGAAAAGCAGCAGGUUAAUACCCCGCUGUUCUGACGGUACCCAAAGAAUAAGCACCGGCUAACUUCGUG